GGGGCUGUAGCUCAGUGGCAGAGCGCUUGCCUCGCACACAUGAGGCACUGGGUUUGAUCCUCGGCGCCA
This 69-nucleotide transfer RNA is filed under the name Ictidomys tridecemlineatus (thirteen-lined ground squirrel). Its description in RNAcentral is "Spermophilus tridecemlineatus (thirteen-lined ground squirrel) tRNA". It matches the Rfam family "tRNA". Rfam says of the family: Transfer RNA (tRNA) molecules are approximately 80 nucleotides in length. Their secondary structure includes four short double-helical elements and three loops (D, anti-codon, and T loops). The record is from Rfam by way of RNAcentral. Lineage: Eukaryota; Metazoa; Chordata; Mammalia; Rodentia; Sciuridae.